GGUUGCGAUCAUACCAGCACUAAUGCGCCGGAUCCCAUCAGAACUAUGCAGUUAAGCGUGCUUGGGCGAGAGUAGUACUAGGAUGGGUGACCCCCUGGGAAGUCCUCGUGUUGCAACCC
RNAcentral lists this ribosomal RNA (119 nucleotides) under Helianthus annuus (common sunflower). The record is from RNAcentral. Lineage: Eukaryota; Viridiplantae; Streptophyta; Magnoliopsida; Asterales; Asteraceae.